RNAcentral lists this ribosomal RNA (472 nucleotides) under uncultured Halomonas sp. Its description in RNAcentral is "bacterial SSU rRNA". It matches the Rfam family "Bacterial small subunit ribosomal RNA", at positions 60 to 523 of the family's 1533-position model. Lineage: Bacteria; Pseudomonadati; Pseudomonadota; Gammaproteobacteria; Oceanospirillales; Halomonadaceae. The record is from RNAcentral.
AGUCGAGCGGCAGCACGGGGAGCUUGCUCCCUGGUGGCGAGCGGCGGACGGGUGAGUAAUGCAUAGGAAUCUGCCCGGUAGUGGGGGAUAACGUGGGGAAACCCACGCUAAUACCGCAUACGUCCUACGGGAGAAAGCAGGGGAUCUUCGGACCUUGCGCUAUCGGAUGAGCCUAUGUCGGAUUAGCUAGUUGGUAAGGUAACGGCUUACCAAGGCGACGAUCCGUAGCCGGUCUGAGAGGAUGACCAGCCACACUGGGACUGAGACACGGCCCAGACUCCUACGGGAGGCAGCAGUGGGGAAUAUUGGACAAUGGGCGAAAGCCUGAUCCAGCCAUGCCGCGUGUGUGAAGAAGGCUUUCGGGUUGUAAAGCACUUUCAGCGAGGAAGAAAGCCUCUGGGCCAAUACCCCAGAGGAAGGACAUCACUCGCAGAAGAAGCACCGGCUAACUCCGUGCCAGCAGCCGCGGUAA